UACGUAGGGUGCGAGCGUUAUCCGGAUUUAUUGGGCGUAAAGGGUUUCGUAGGCGGUUUGAUAAGUCGUUCGUUAAAGCCCCCGGCUCAACCGGGGAAAGGCGGGCGAGACUGUCAGACUAGAGGGUUGGAGGGGGUGUUAGAAUGCUUGGUGUAGGGGUGAAAUCCGUUGAUAUCAAGCAGAAUACCAAGGGCGAAGGCAGACACCUGGACAACCCCUGACGCUGAGGAACGAAAGCUUGGGGAGCAAACCGGAUUAGAUACCCCGUA
Molecule: ribosomal RNA, 269 nt
Filed under: uncultured prokaryote
Description: partial 16S ribosomal RNA
Rfam family: Bacterial small subunit ribosomal RNA
Source: RNAcentral